Molecule: ribosomal RNA, 603 nt
Filed under: uncultured bacterium
Lineage: Bacteria
Description: bacterial SSU rRNA
Rfam family: Bacterial small subunit ribosomal RNA (bases 1-515)
Source: RNAcentral
CCUACGGGAGGCAGCAGUGGGGAAUCUUGCGCAAUGGGCGAAAGCCUGACGCAGCCAUGCCGCGUGAAUGAUGAAGGUCUUAGGAUUGUAAAAUUCUUUCACCGGGGACGAUAAUGACGGUACCCGGAGAAGAAGCCCCGGCUAACUUCGUGCCAGCAGCCGCGGUAAUACGAAGGGGGCUAGCGUUGCUCGGAAUUACUGGGCGUAAAGGGAGCGUAGGCGGAUAGUUUAGUCAGAGGUGAAAGCCCAGGGCUCAACCUUGGAAUUGCCUUUGAUACUGGCUAUCUUGAGUGUGGGAGAGGUAUGUGGAACUCCGAGUGUAGAGGUGAAAUUCGUAGAUAUUCGGAAGAACACCAGUGGCGAAGGCGACAUACUGGCCCAUUACUGACGCUGAGGCUCGAAAGCGUGGGGAGCAAACAGGAUUAGAUACCCUGGUAGUCCACGCUGUAAACGAUGAGUGCUAGUUGUCGGCAGCAUGCUGUCGGUGACGCGAGCUACGACAUAAGCACUCCGCCGUCGGGAGGUACGGUCGCGAGAAUUAAACUACAAUAGAAGUUAGACGGCGUGAGACGUAGCCGACGGACGACGACGAGGGAGGUUAGG